UAGAAAAAAUAAUGCUAAAAUCAGUAAUAAGAGGGCUCACAGGCCCUCUCCUCGCACAUGUGUAAGUCGGACCGGACUCACCACCGACAAUUAACGGACUCAAAUGAAAGAAAAAGAACAAGCCGUAAAAGACAAGAAAACACUAUUAAACUUAACCGUUAACCCAACACAGGAGUGCACAAGGAAAGACUAAAAGGAGAAGAAGGAACUCGGCAAACACAAACCCCGCCUGUUUACCAAAAACAUCGCCUCUUGCUAACAAAGGAAGUAUUAGAGGUCCCGCCUGCCCUGUGACCGUAAGGUUUAACGGCCGCGGUAUCCUGACCGUGCGAAGGUAGCGUAAUCAUUUGUCUUUUAAAUAGAGACCUGUAUGAAUGGCAUAACGAGGGUUUAACUGUCUCCUUCCCCUAGUCAAUGAAAUUGAUCUGCCCGUGCAGAAGCGGGCAUAAUAACAUAAGACGAGAAGACCCUAUGGAGCUUUAGACAAAAGGCCACACAUGUAAAGACCAAAAAAACCAAAAGGAUAUAAUAUCGACAAAACCCAGUGUAAAUUGGUCCAAAUGUCUUCGGUUGGGGCGACCAUGGGGGAAAACAAAGCCCCCACGAGGAAUAGGGAUAACCCCCUAAGCUAAGAGGAACACUUCUAAGCAACAGAAAAUCUGACCAUUAUGAUCCAGGUUAUUAAACCUGAUCAACGAACCAAGUUACCCUAGGGAUAACAGCGCAAUCCUUUCCCAGAGUCCAUAUCGACGAAAGGGUUUACGACCUCGAUGUUGGAUCAGGACAUCCUAAUGGUGCAGCCGCUAUUAAGGGUUCGUUUGUUCAACGAUUAACAGUCCUACGUGAUCUGAGUUCAGACCGGAGUAAUCCAGGUCGGUUUCUAUCUAUGAAUUUAUUCCUUCCCAGUACGAAAGGACCGGAAUGAAGAGGCCAAUACUUAAAGCAAGCCUCACCCCUACCUACUGAAGAUAAAUAAAAUAG
This 981-nucleotide ribosomal RNA is filed under the name Serrivomer sector (sawtooth eel). RNAcentral's name for it is "partial 16S ribosomal RNA". It matches the Rfam family "Bacterial large subunit ribosomal RNA", at positions 1283 to 2788 of the family's 2925-position model. Lineage: Eukaryota; Metazoa; Chordata; Actinopteri; Anguilliformes; Serrivomeridae. The record is from RNAcentral.